Molecule: non-coding RNA, 161 nt
Organism: Candidatus Pacearchaeota archaeon CG1_02_31_27
Lineage: Archaea; Nanobdellati
Source: Rfam
UUCUGUCCUAGUUAAUUUGAAAAUUGGAUGCAGAGAACUACAUGCCUGUUAAUUAGCACAUUAUUUUACUUUAUUUUAAGUCAUGAAAUUCAACCACGACAAUUAGUAAUCUAAAUGAAACUUGAAGUGGUGGUGUUAUCUUGGUUAAUAGGCUAUAUUCC